GGUGGUUUUGUCAUUGGCUUGUAUAACACUGUAUCACUGUAUCACUACAUGCGGCAGAAAUCAAACAGCGUACAUUGUAUUGAAUUGGUUUUCUCCAAGAAGCACAUGCUAUGUCACUGACAUUUUUAUCCAUAAUACAUUCACGAUUCGUACUGAACAAAAACGCGACUUAAUCAAAAAUAAGGUAAAAAAGCUCUAUAAGACCAGGUUGAUAAUACCGCCCAAUACCACAUUUAUGAUGUUUAUUCACAAGGAUAUUCAUCCAGGUUAGAGGUGUUAGGCCUAUACAAAUUCUCGUCAGACCUCAUUGGUUGGAAUCGUGAUUUUGGGUAAUCCUACAUGUAUGAUUAACAUAUAAUGGGCGGGCAAGAAAUAUAUGAUCUGGUCUUAUACAGCCGAGUUGAGAGUAUAUUGUAUGUUUGGACCACCUACUGUAGUCACAUAUAGCUUCAAGAAAUCCAUAUAAUUUUGAAUUACACUAUAAUUAGCCAUUAUAUGUUUUAGCAAUCAAAUUGUUCCAGAUGAAGAACCAACAUGCUCUAUGUUAUAUCAGCAGUGUAUGAUACACUAAUCGACGUGCAAGGGACAUGUAGUUUUGAUUCAUGUGGACAUCGGCCGAGAGCAUGGUGGCUCUUCUUCUGGUGGAGGUUCGCUUUAAUGAAUAUUCUACGGCGGUGGGCACGAUUGUCAGUGUGCACGAUCUAUCUGGUGCGUAUCAUAUUGGUCUAUCACCAUCCGAAUAAAUUAGAUGUAGGCUACGUCACCUAUUUCGAUUUCGCUCUCGUUUAUUAAAUAAAUUUCUCUUUCUACAUUAUCUGCUUCUCUUGAUUAUAUUUUCAAAUAUGUGGGAAUGGAUGAGGUCAAGUAUUGGGUUUAACCAGAUUUUAAAACCGGUUUUAAGAAAGUUUUAGGCUGCGCUAAAACUGGUAUUUGACCUCCCAACAUGUUUUUGGUUAAAACUGUCUUGAAACUGUCUUUAGACAGAUUUAAGACAAGUUUGAAAACUCUGAUAAAACUUUGGAAGUUUUAAUCUGAACAGAGAGCUAAAAGUUUUGUAAAAUGCACUACCAAAUGUACAUGGUCGGUUUUAAGUCCUAGGGCUUAAGACUGUGCUGAGGUCAAAUAUCAGAAUAAAACCAGCAGUCAUGUUUGCUCUACCUGUAAUAGUUGCUGUUGCUCAGCAAAGAGGAGACAACUUUGUAAGAAAGCCUGCCUUCAGCGGAGAACCAAUUGAGAGGCAUUUGAGACUAAACCAGCGCAUGAUGCAUGAGAACUGAUUCAGCAAAUCCUUAAGUUUUAGCCUGGCUUUAUCUUAGUUUUUAUCUAAGGUUUUAUCUCGGUUUCAAUCUAGUCUUAAUCCUAGGGCAGUUUCAUGUGGUCAAAUUAAGACCGAGAGUUGGUUUUAAACCGGGAUAAACUUGGUUUUAACUCGGUUUUGUCUUAAACCCAAUACUUGACCUCACCCAUUGUACUGUAACGUGAAGUCCUGGAACUAUAGGCUUCACGGUAUUCAUAUGGUUAAUUUGUAAAACGGAUAGGGACUGGCCUUCUCUUAAUUCGGUAAGCUCUUCGCCUUUGUUUCGCACCUUUCUUAAGUAAUCACAUUGGUCAAAAGUUCGAGAGUUAGAGUCGCGCGUUCGGAGUCUAAUAAACAAAGUUUCGUAAGUCAUGUCUUAAAGGGAUAGCUAAUCAGUUUCGCUAGUAAAAGUAUUGUUUAGCGUCCCGGUGUAACAUCUGUGGUUUUUCCCCAUGUGUCAGUGUUUCCAAACAAUAGGCAGCUAGAGAGACCACGACUUUUCAAUAGGGGGGAUACACAGAAAAACUUGUCAAUCUAUUUUUGAGCGUUCCCAAACAAUGAGGGGAAACACUCAAAAACAGAAACACUCAAAAACAUUACACCGGUCGUGGUCACCUGGAAUGUGGCUGUCCAAACACGGCUUUGCGCUGGUAAAUGUCUACCAGAGGGAGGCACCUGACAUGGUCAGUUCUUUCUGGACCCCCUCAUAUCAGAUGGCCUCGGCAGUUCUUUGAUUAACAACCUUUCAUAAUAAUGCCGGACUCUGGACUCGUGGCUCGGCUCCUGAAUACUGGUGCGACACACACACUCUCUCUCUCUGUUGCCAACCACCUCUGAACUAGGACUUUGAGCGUGCUCUGCCGUUAAGGAUUACAAACUGAUUUUGAUUGUAAGUACGAAUAAACUACAUGUACAUGUAUUCUAAUUAAUACUCUUGUCUUCCGGCUUCAUCGUCUACCAGUAGUUAGUCUCUUUGCAAGUGCAACCGGUCUAAGGCAGCAGGUCUUCUGGUUACCCCGUAUCCAGGGAGCUUGUGUUCAUGGUAGCAGAGCAUCUAUGGACUGUUCACGAGAUCAUUCUCUCAAAUGCCAAAAACAUUGAUCUACAUCGAUUUGUUUUUUCUUUGGAAAUGCUUCUCAAAAGUUCAUAUUACGAUGUGUUCUCAUUGACCUACACGGACAGCCGAUGGUACACGCGCCGUUAGUCCAAAAAACAAAAAUAAAUUUGUAAAUGAAUUUAAAAAAUACGUAAUACACUGAACAUAAAUUUCAGUCUACCGCUGCAUGAUAACUGCAUUACGGUAUUGUGUAUAACUGCACUUCUAUUUUCUUGACCCGCGACUAAUACGAACGGCGUAACUCUUUCACAUAAUCGCUGAGUGCCAAUCAGGAUCUGGUUAAGAAUCAGAACGCACGAAAGGUUACACUGACCUGUCCAUGCGGGUGUACUUUAAUCUGUCCAUAAGGCACGAUAGUUACGACAUUUUGCAUGCAAAAGAAAACCACCAACAGACUAAAGCAUAGAGUAAGCUUAGUCUAUUCUUGAUAACUAUAAGAGUAGAAGGUGGGCAAGAAUAGGAAGACCUUGACCUAUCAAGAUGUUUGAAAAUUUAAAUUUGAAUUUUGUUGUUGAUUAGCUGAGUUUGAAAUCAAACGAGGCUAACCGUUGGCCUAGAUACUUGAAAAAUAUACAUGUCUAGGUAACCGUCAUCAGCUCAGAAGCAAAAAAUGGUUAAAAAGAGCCAUUUUUUGCUUUGGAUAGGUCAACGCUUCCUAUUCUUGCCCACCGACUGCUGUUUUAUUGAAGACUGGUAAAAAUGUACAAGAAAACGACUACAUAUUUGUGCACAUGCAUUUAAAAAUGUCAAAAUGCGCUACUUGAAAGCCAAAUGCCAUGCAAUAUAGUCCUCAUAGCUAGCGGUACGACAACCUUGAAGAAUCCACCAGGAUUUGGGGAAAAGUUUGAUCAUGGGUAUGGGCAGUCUCUCCCUGCGUACAAUUUUGAUUCUGUUUUCAUGAUUAUUGUCACAUUCUUCCCUUGAAAUAGUAGGCACUAUUAUGAUGCCUUUACAGUGAAUUAGUUCAGGUUUGUAAGUAGAAAAAGCAAAUUCGAGUGAUUGUUUCAUGAAAUUCGGUUGAGCGCUGCUCAAAUGGGUGUACGACCUUCAUAUAGCUUCCAGUAUUUGCUCCUAAUCAGCUUGUCCAAGUCGGCAACACCAAGAAAUUCCAGGCACUGGGUUAUUGUUCUGACUUUUGAACGUUUCAUGAAAAAGAUCUUGUUCAUGGUGAAAGGUCCGAAUUGUUCCGAUGGAUCGAUACUUCUGUUCAGAAUGAACAGGUCGUCCAGGUGUAAGAAAUUCCCCAGAGCCACUAGUGUACCUUUACCAUCUUGUUUCACUUCUCGAAUGUUAUCGUUGUAUGCCUCCUCUCCCAGCACAUACACCUGUUUUGGCGAAUGCACCCCGUCUGGGUAAAAUGCCUGGUGCAGUGCAUAAUUUAGAAUAGCGCGGAUCGUCGAGGGCAAUGAUGCUUCUCGUAGGGCGUCCAUUCUAGAAAUGAGCACCCCUGCGCCUAAUUCAGUAUUAUAAUAAUUAAGAAGUGCUGUGAUAUGAUUGGCUGCGAUAUACGUACAUUUUUAAUGUAUGCCCUGUUUGUUAUCCCGAAUUAGGCCAAUCAAAACAGUUGACUUUGAAUUUCAAAUAAUACAAUACCCAGAUGUUUUCAUGACAGUCAGAGAUUUGAAAUUCAAAUUUUAAAAUUCAGAGUUGAUAUGAUUAGGCAUCUAUCAGAUUUGUGUACUUAACACAUUCUUGCACCUUCCAGAAUAAAAAAACCCCUAAAAUUCUCCAUCACCGACUUGGGUUGUUACUCUUAGACUCAUCUGAUUAGAAUUACUAUGAAGAUUCUGUGUAAGGCAUCAGUUCGUGUAAAAAGUGCUGAAUAAAGAAAACAACCCUAGAAUCCUCCAUCACCACCUUAGGUUGCUACUCAUAAACUAAGCAUUCACACCAUUGUAAACCAUGGCGUCUUUUUCACUAGAGGCCUUUCUGGAUAACAUGCGACUAUUGGUAAACAAUUGUCUUAACGAACACCUAGAAGGCAUACCAGAUGUGGAAACAGAGGAAUUUCAGUCUAUGAUCAACCCGAUGCGAAGCUGUAUUGAUAGCGGACUCUUUCAGGGUGUGGAUGGUAUGUGUAAUUAUCUGCUAUUUCCUCAGGUAGAGGAGAAAUUAUUUUCUGACAUCCUCCUUCAUGAUAUUGUCACCAGCUCAACCACAGACAAUGGUACCUCCUCAAGACUCGGUGCUCCACCAUUUGAACUGGUGGCAGAAGAGUCAGUAGUUCAGACUAACGAGGGUCAAACAAAUGACCCACAAAUAUCAUGUAAAAGUAGGCCUAGUGGUAAUCAUCCAUCGGCACAAGAGCAAACACCAGCAGCAGCAUGCAUGAGUAGCUGCAAUGAUCAGACACCAGCACCAGCAGUACAAGUUAAAAACCAAGCUGCUAAAAAGCAAGAGCACACAUCAUCUGAAAACAGGCGUCACAAACAAGCCCUGAAACCAAAAUUGGAUUUAGAUCGAAAAAGAAAAGGUACAGAAUUUCAUGUACCAAUUUUACGCAAGAUUUUGAAAAGGGAACCAUUCAUCGUCAUAUCCGAUGAUAGUGAUGCUGAUAAGAAUAAAAAUAAUGAUAUAAAAUGCAAAAAUCCUUGUACUAGUAAAUCAACAAAAAACAAGAAAAGGUAAAUGCCAUUAGAAAAUCUUGGAGCAGCCCAACCCAAAUCUGCCUAGCAACUCACAAGAUUACAGUGGAACAUGGAAAAGGGCUCCCCAACCAAAAUGUUCUACAUCCAAAAAGAUAUAAAAAAUGAGCAGAAGCAAGAACCAAAUAUGUCAAAAAAUGAAAAAAAUAAACCGAAGCAAGAACCAAAUAGAUCAACAGAUUUAGGUAAUUUCUUAAAGAAAUGGAAAAAAGAACUCAAAAACAACAAAACCGAAAACUCAAACACUCAAGACUCUAAACAAGUGUCUGAUGAUCUAGCACACUCAAGUACUGAAGACUUCAAAAAAGAGAUUGCCGAACUCACCUCCUGUUGUGAAGAAAAAUGGGUUUUUUAGGCUAAAGAACCAACAAGGCAGAAACCCCUUUCAUCCAUUGUUGUGGCAAAGGCCCAAAUUGACAAACACAAUAAAUACCAAUCAAUCAAAAGAGAUACUAAAUUGCAGGAAGAAUUGGCGUGUAAUCUGCAUAGAGGGGCAGGAGUACCAUUUAAAAAAUGUGGAAUCAAAGAAAUGAAAAUGUUUCAGAAUGCAUUGGAUGUAUAUCAACUCAUAGUCUAUAACAACAAGCAUUUUGACAAAAUCAUAUUCAUAGGCCCUGAAGCACCAAACAAAUUGUUUAUUUACCACUAUCGAGACCAUUUUGCUGUAAUCACUAAGAUGGCGUCAUUUCUGAAUAGGUCAUUCUUCUGUCCAUACUGUUUGAAGGGUGAUAAUGACUAUGCUUCUCAUGCCUGCCAAGAAAGCUGUCCGUGUUUAGAUGCCAACCAAACUGUGUUAUUGUAAAAUGGAAAAAGUUAUGAAAAAAUGUUAUCAGUGCAAACGCAUAUUUAAGAGUUUGAAUUGUUUAAGGAACCAUCUGGAAAAAAUAAUGCAAAUCAUAGUGUGCGUGAUCUGUUCACAAAUCAUGAUGUUGGUAAAAAGACUAGUCUAAGAGAUACUAGAAAAAUCCACAAAUUUACAUGUCAUACUGUAACACGUUAAUAUGUAGUGCGUUAAAGCCAAAGGAGCACAAAUGCUACGUUCCCACUGUAGCUAAAGCUAUUAGCUAAGUCCAAUGGAAAAAUGCGCACGAUCUAUUUUGAUUUUUAAUGUCGACAGGACGAACUUGUCAAAAAUGAAGAUGAGGAAUAUGAGCAUAGGCUUAAUUUGUGCAUGGCACACAGUUGCUGUGUGAAAUGUGGUAUGGACGAAACCAUCAUGAAUGCAUGUGAACAUUGUGGUCCUUUUAAUAAGGAAAUGAUUUUUGAGGGUGAUACAUGUGCUGACAAGUUUUGUGAAUGGCUUUUUGAUGGCAGCAAGAAAAGGUCAACAGUACUUGCCCAUAACAGUAGUGGGUGUGAUUCAUUCUUUAUUUUUCAAUAUCUACACCGGAAUGGCGUCAAACCAGAAAAUUUCAUCAAGUCAGGUCAGAAAUUGAUAUCAUUUGAGGCCAAGGGUUUGAAAUUCAUUGAUUCACUGAGCUUUUUGACUAUGUCUCUUGCUAAUUUAUAAAAAACCUGGGGACUUAGUACCCAAAAGGAACCUUUCCACAUUUGUUCAAUAAAAAGAGAAUGCUGCCUAUGUUGGGAAAUAUCCAGACAUUUCCUAUUAUGAUUCUGAUUCUAUGCAACCAUGUGAAAGGGAGACUUUUCUCAAAUGGUAUCAAGAGCAAGACGGGAAAAUUUUCAAUUUUAGGGAGGAGUUUAUUGCAUAUUGUAAAAUUGAUGUUGAUAUUCUGUGUAGGUGCUGUACUUCCUUCAUAAUCCUCUUUGAAAAGGUGACUGGUAUCAAUCCAUUUGAAAAGAGUGCGAUCGACGCAAUUUCAUGCCAGCUAAUACUAUAGCAGUUAUUCCACUAUAUGGCUAUUUGAACAAGGAUAACCAUUCACAUAUUCCUAUAAUGUGGCUUGAAUGGCUUAUGAAAAAAGAACACAUCAAUAUUCUACAUGCAAAGAAUCAAGGUGAACAAUAUAUUGGGGGUUACAAAGUUGAUGGGUAUGACCCCACUAACGAAGUGGUUUAUGAGUUUGACGGAUGUUUUUUUUCAUGGCUGCCAAUUAUGUCAUCCUAAUAGGGACACUGUCAAUCAACGCUGUGGGAGUUGCAUGAGAAUACACUAUUCAGGCGUAAGCACUUGGAGGGGUUUUGUAAGAAGGUAAUACACAUUAGAGAAUGCCAGUUCUUGAAUGAGAUCAAAAAUGAUGAAGAACUUAAGACAUUCACCGAAAAUAUCCAUUUCUUUAAGCGGUUAAACCCUAGAGAUGCCUUCUAUGGGGGUAGGACCAAUGCAUUGACUUUGUAUUACAAAUGCAAACCAGAUGAAUGUAUAAAAUACAUUGAUUUUACAUCCUUGUAUCCUGCAGUAUGUAAAUACAACCAUUUUCCAAUAGGUCACCCAAAGGUAUUGACGGAUGACCAACUUGAGGGCGUUGAUCCUUUGUCAUGUGAGGGGUUAAUCAAAUGCACUGUUUUGCCUCCGAAGGACCUGUACUUGCCUGUUUUGCCUGUUCGAGUUGGGAAUAAGUUGAAAUUUCCAUUGUGUUACGAGUGUGCCGAUCAGUGCCUCGAUACAUGUACACAUUCUAAUCCAGAACGGUCAUUAACCGGAACAUGGGUUAUUUUUGAAAUUAAGGAAGCAGUAAAAUUAGGUUACAAAAUUACACAGGUUUAUGAAAUUUGGCACUUCUCUGAAACCAUGGUGUAUGAUCCAGGAGGCAAGAAAGGCGGUCUUUUCACUGAUUACAUCAAUGCAUUUUUGAAAAUAAAGCUUGAAGUAAGUGGUUGGCCUGACGGUGCAAGACAGAAAUAGAUAGGCAGACAUAUAUGAGGACGCUAUUGAGGGCAUUGGCCAAAUUAUGUUUAUGCUCGGGGUAGGGUAAGAUUGGUGAGUGACCUAUAUUUAUGAAGACUGAAUAUGUCUCAGAACCAUCAGAGUAUUUUCAAAAAAUGACAGAUGACACGAUUGAGGUCAGAGAUGUACAAAUGGUUAAUGAUGAAUGUGUCCUCAUGAUGACCUGUUCAAAGGAGCAAUUUGUUGAGGCUAACAAUAAGACCAAUGUGGUCAUUGCAGCAUAUAUGUAACAGCACAUGGGAGACUGAAAUUAUUUUCAGAGUUGAGUAAACUUGGUAAAACUGUGUUGUACUUUGAUACUGACAGCAUAAUUUAUCGUGAGAGUUCAAACACUUCGUCAUACAGACCUGUUUUAAACGACUUCUUGGGCCAUUUUAAAGACGAACUCUCGGGAAACACAAUCACUGAUUUCGUGUCUGGAGGCCCGAAGAACUAUGCAUACAAAUUAAAGACACCAGAGUGUGAUGGUGUGCAAACGGUAUGCAAAGUACGGGGAUUCACUUUGAAAUACCGAAAUGGUCAAUCAAUUAACUUUGAUUCAAUGAAACGUUUGAUCCUGGAGAACCGGUUUGAUGAGAGGAUUGUUGUUAGGAAUCCUCGAAAAAUCGAACGGAAGAAAGAUUUCAAAGUUGUAUCUGCACCCGAGUCAAAGGCUCAUGGAAUUGUGUAUGAUAAGAGGAUUAUCACAGAGAGUUUUCAAACAAUACCAUUUGGCUACCAACACUAAGGGUUAGGCAUUUUUCAUUUAUCAGCAGAUACCAACACAAGUGCAUUCUUAUGUUUGCUUAGUAGAUAACCUGAAUUGCACUCUGUAUACUGUAUGUAUAGCCUUUUUUGGUCUACUGUGCUAUGAUACUGAUUGUUAUUAUUAGCAAUUAUGUGUAAUCUUAUGAUUGUGAUAUUAAACUACUACUAGAAAUUCAUAUAAUUGCGAUAAAUUGUUCGUCAUUAUACUAAUGUCUCCUAUGUAAUCAUGUAUAAUUUGCAAGUAUGAACUAAAUGUAUGUAACAUGCACUGUGUGUAUGGUAAUAAUGAUAUCAAAAUCAUAUAAAUAUUUUGUUUAUUGGCACGCUAAGGUUGAAAUACAU
Molecule: long non-coding RNA, 8996 nt
Organism: Lineus longissimus
Lineage: Eukaryota; Metazoa; Nemertea; Pilidiophora; Heteronemertea; Lineidae
Exons: 3
Source: RefSeq, a predicted model, not a curated record